UCUGACGGAGCACGCCGCGUGAGUGAUGAAGGCUUUCGGGUCGUAAAACUCUGUUGUUAGGGAAGAACAAGUACGAGAGUAACUGCUCGUACCUUGACGGUACCUAACCAGAAAGCCACGGCUAACUACGUGCCAGCAGCCGCGGUAAUACGUAGGUGGCAAGCGUUAUCCGGAAUUAUUGGGCGUAAAGCGCGCGCAGGCGGUUUCUUAAGUCUGAUGUGAAAGCCCACGGCUCAACCGUGGAGGGUCAUUGGAAACUGGGGAACUUGAGUGCAGAAGAGAAAAGCGGAAUUCCACGUGUAGCGGUGAAAUGCGUAGAGAUGUGGAGGAACACCAGUGGCGAAGGCGGCUUUUUGGUCUGUAACUGACGCUGAGGCGCGAAAGCGUGGGGAGCAAACAGGAUUAGAUACCCUGGUAGUCCACGCCGUAAACGAUGAGUGCUAAGUGUUAGAGGGUUUCCGCCCUUUAGUGCUGCAGCUAACGCAUUAAGCAUCCGC
This 497-nucleotide ribosomal RNA is filed under the name Priestia megaterium. RNAcentral describes it as "bacterial SSU rRNA". It matches the Rfam family "Bacterial small subunit ribosomal RNA", at positions 382 to 872 of the family's 1533-position model. The record is from RNAcentral. Lineage: Bacteria; Bacillati; Bacillota; Bacilli; Caryophanales; Bacillaceae.